AUCUCAAUAGCAAUACAAGUGAAUAAUUAUUAUUUAAUUUAUAAAUUAUAAUUUUUCAAAUAUUUAUAUUGAUAUACUUUAGAGCAUUAUAAAUUAAUAUUUAAAUAUAAUUAAAUUGAAAUAGAUGAGAAGAGAUGUAGAUAUUGAGAUGGAAGAAGAGGAAUUAGUUUAAAUAAAAAUUGAUUCGAUAAAUUGGAAA
Molecule: long non-coding RNA, 199 nt
Filed under: Elaeis guineensis (African oil palm)
Lineage: Eukaryota; Viridiplantae; Streptophyta; Magnoliopsida; Arecales; Arecaceae
Description: long non-coding RNA (EGUI_LNC034381)
Source: RNAcentral